CACGUGAGAACCUGCCUCGGAGACCGGGACAACCAUUGGAAACGAUGGCUAAUACCGGAUGCCCUCAUUUGGCCGCAUGGCCGAAUGAGGAAAUGAUCCGUCGCUCCGGGAGGGUCUCGCGGCCUAUCAGCUAGUUGGUGAGGUAACGGCUCACCAAGGCAUCGACGGGUAGCUGGUCUGAGAGGACGAUCAGCCACACUGGGACUGAGACACGGCCCAGACUCCUACGGGAGGCAGCAGUAGGGAAUCUUGCACAAUGGGCGAAAGCCUGAUGCAGCGACGCCGCGUGGGGGAUGAAGG
Molecule: ribosomal RNA, 300 nt
Filed under: uncultured Acidimicrobiales bacterium
Lineage: Bacteria; Bacillati; Actinomycetota; Acidimicrobiia; Acidimicrobiales
Description: bacterial SSU rRNA
Rfam family: Bacterial small subunit ribosomal RNA
Source: RNAcentral